UCGAGGGAGGAAGGCUCUUGGGUUGUAAACCUCUUUUCUCAGGGAAGAAGCUCUGACGGUACCUGAGGAAUCAGCCUCGGCUAACUCCGUGCCAGCAGCCGCGGUAAUACGGAGGAGGCAAGCGUUAUCCGGAAUUAUUGGGCGUAAAGCGUCCGCAGGUGGCGAUUCAAGUCUGCUGUCAAAGCACGGGGCUUAACUCCGUUAAGGCAGUGGAAACUUCUGGACUAGAGAGUGGUAGGGGUAGAGGGAAUUCCUAGUGUAGCGGUGAAAUGCGUAGAUAUUAGGAAGAACACCAGUGGCGAAGGCGCUCUACUGGGCCAUUACUGACGCUGAUGGACGAAAGCUAGGGGAGCGAAAGGGAUUAGAUACCCCUGUAGUC
RNAcentral lists this ribosomal RNA (379 nucleotides) under uncultured cyanobacterium. RNAcentral describes it as "bacterial SSU rRNA". It matches the Rfam family "Bacterial small subunit ribosomal RNA", at positions 401 to 795 of the family's 1533-position model. The record is from RNAcentral. Lineage: Bacteria; Bacillati; Cyanobacteriota.